CGGUAACAGGAUGUGCUUGCACAUCGCUGACGAGUGGCGGACGGGUGAGUAAUGCUUGGGAACUUGCCUUUGCGAGGGGGAUAACAGUUGGAAACGACUGCUAAUACCGCAUAAUGUCUUCGGACCAAACGGGGCUUCGGCUCCGGCGCAAAGAGAGGCCCAAGUGAGAUUAGCUAGUUGGUAAGGUAAUGGCUUACCAAGGCGACGAUCUCUAGCUGUUCUGAGAGGAAGAUCAGCCACACUGGGACUGAGACACGGCCCAGACUCCUACGGGAGGCAGCAGUGGGGAAUAUUGCACAAUGGGGGAAACCCUGAUGCAGCCAUGCCGCGUGUGUGAAGAAGGCCUUCGGGUUGUAAAGCACUUUCAGUUGUGAGGAAAAGUUAGUAGUUAAUACCUGCUAGCCGUGACGUUAACAACAGAAGAAGCACCGGCUAACUCCGUGCCAGCAGCCGCGGUAAUACGGAGGGUGCGAGCGUUAAUCGGAAUUACUGGGCGUAAAGCGCACGCAGGCGGUUUGUUAAGCUAGAUGUGAAAGCC
Molecule: ribosomal RNA, 538 nt
Filed under: uncultured bacterium
Lineage: Bacteria
Description: bacterial SSU rRNA
Rfam family: Bacterial small subunit ribosomal RNA
Source: RNAcentral